UGUCAGCUCAAGCCCGCCCCUGCGGAGGGGGCGAUGCCUCGCGGUCUGAUUGGGCGAGGCGCUUGAUUGGCAGCUCGGAAAGGGCGGAGUCGGUCGUUGCUGGGCAACGCGGAGCCGCCGCGCUGGAGGCCGGGAGGAACUGGGACGAACUGGGACAAACUGGGAGCGGACUGGGACGAACUGGGAGCCGCUGGAUCGUGUUGGGACAGACCGGAAUCCCCCUGGAGCCCGACUGGGAGCCGCUGGGUUAUACUGGGACAAACUGGGACCCACCAGGGCCUGAACUGGGAGCCGCUGGUUUAUACUGGGACAAACUGGGACGCACUGGGACCCCGCCAGUGCCAGACUGGUUUGUACUGGGUCGCGCCCGCAGCGAAAAACCAUCAAAAACCAGUUAAAACCAGUAAAACUGGGCCAGGAUGUGGCCCCGCCCCCGCCCCGGUAAAGCCACGCCCCCCUCAAACUGAACGCGGUGACGUCAUCGACUGGCCACGCCUUUAUUGGGGGUGGGGGAAGGCACUGGGGGGGCCUGGGCCAGACUGGGACCAACUGGACCCAACUGGGCCCAACUGGACCCAACUGGAACCAACUGGG
This 594-nucleotide long non-coding RNA is filed under the name Cyanistes caeruleus (blue tit). RNAcentral describes it as "lncRNA (ENSCCEG00000004132.1)". The record is from RNAcentral. Lineage: Eukaryota; Metazoa; Chordata; Aves; Passeriformes; Paridae.